Scophthalmus maximus (turbot) is the source of this 1500-nucleotide long non-coding RNA. RefSeq lists it as uncharacterized. Lineage: Eukaryota; Metazoa; Chordata; Actinopteri; Pleuronectiformes; Scophthalmidae. The record is from RefSeq and is a predicted model, not a curated record. The transcript has 6 exons.
GUGUAUGUGUGAGUGGGACUGCGUCUGCAGGCUCCGCUCACUACUGAGGGAGCAGCGGGUGAGGACAUACUGCUCCUGGAUGUAAGAGCUCUUCUGGAUCCUCCUCCUCACAUCACUGGACCAGUCUUGCUCCGCACCUGGAGGCAACAAAUGCCAGCUGUUAACCACGAUGGGCGAACCUGACCAAAUGGUGCAAUAUCCAAUGAGGCGAUUGCCAGUGUAGAGCGGAGGGAUUUCAUUGGGUGAAAGAAGAGCCUCCAUGUUUUCUGGCAGCAGGUGACAAUGUUGCAGUACUGCUGACCUUGGGCUGGAGUCUCUCCUCGUCAUCCAGGAGCUCUGUAAUCCCUCCUGUUAAUUUGGCAACGCCCUGCAGGAGUCUCCUGCAGGCUCGAGGACCCAGGCCCACACCAAAGCAUCUGCAGAGCUCACCUUUACGCGAUGGAUGUUGGUGCCACUCAUGCUCCCGCUGCGAUCUACGAGGAACAGUAGCUCUCUGGUGGCUUUGUGCAGCUCCAGAGGUUCACACAGCAAGUCAGGACAGAAGUUGAGCAUCAAGACCGGGUUGCUCAGAAUGUCCUUGUGGUGCCGCUUCCUCACAAACUCCAGCUGCAGGUGGAACACAAGGAGACGAACACAGGACAGAGGAGGGACUGACCGUGUCUUUGUACAUGUCAAGACCAGAUCAUCACAGCAGUAGACAACAGCCUACAUUAAUACAACCAGGAAAAGGGAGUUGUGGUUGAUUUGUUCAGCUGAAUUCUUGUACUUGUACAAAAAGUCUCACCAGCUUUGAUUUUCCAAGCUGAAAGCUGAGUCAUUUCACACGUAUCUAGAGUACUGGGCAUUCAUUCCUGUUCAAAUACUCCUCAUCUGCUCUGGGUUCUGCAAAGUGCAAGUGUCUGGAGAACAGAGAACCAAUGACUAAUGUCUGCUAGCAUAAGUUAAUUAUGCUGAUUACUGCUCAAUAACUGUUAGACUUAUUUAUUAGUCAGUAAGCUGAGGGGAAAGGGGGCAGCCCAGAAAGCAAUUUGUUAUAUCAGUGCUCAACAUGAAUGCAUAGCUUAUGUCUUAAUUGUUCAAACUCAUUGAAAUCAUACUAGAUAAAUAUAUGGCCACCUCGUUACAAGAUUUUUCUGGCCUUCUCUGCAUUCCUCCGUCCUGUAUCCUCACCAUUGGUGCAUUGAAUGUCCUGACUGGAGUUCCCACAGCAGCCCCACUCCUGGCCAUUCCCACAGUGGCCUUCAAGACCGGAUCCAGGGCAGCAAUCCAAACAGCAGUCCUUCAGCUUCCCUCGGCUCUGUAUCUCCACACCCACCAGUCGGCCCGCGAUUGAAGCCUCGAAGCCCACCACAACCUCCUUUUCUCCAAGAGGACUCUAUGUCAGCGUUGGCAUAAGUAAGGUGAGCAGUGAUGCCCAGGGAGCAGCCGUUGGCACAAGACUUGAUGCAGGAGGCCUUGAGUAGCAGCGGUUCCCAUGUGGAGCAGUUUCUCAGUCCCACC